CCGGCGGGGUGGUGUCGCGGCGGCGGUUGCGAAUCACCGCUUAAUUGCCCGAAACGUGUUAAAAAGAAAAGGUGAAAGUCCCUUUCCGGCGUUGUAAAUAUUCCGGGGGCGGGCAGGUAGCCCGGGGCGGCGGCGCUGCUCCGCUCCCCUGAGGGUUAGCCGGCUGGGCCCGGGAGGAGCCGGUUGCCGCCACCGGCGCCCCUGAGGGCAGCCUGGCCUCGCCGCCCUCUCGGAGCGCCGGAAAGCGCGUCCCUGGGAACAAGUCGGGGGAAAGAAAUGUCCUCGGCGGGUGCAGUGACCGGUCUGCAUGAAGCAGAAGUCCGCAGGCUCAGCACACGCAGUGAAAGGAUUUCAAGCCAUUGGUAACACUCAGUACUUAACGGUUUAUCCAGGACAUUCAGAUUCAAUCCGACAAAGUAAAUACUUCUAAGAGUCAGAACAGAAAAGGCACUUACUCAUUUUGGGGAAGACACCUGGCAGCAUAAAUUAUGUUCCAGUCAACAUACCAAUUGUGCAUGGACAAUCUGUCAUGAAAAUGUGGUAACAGGUGACAGAAGUUAUGUAUUUGCAUGUUUUAGAGAGAAGAGACUAAAGAAACUGGAGGAAAGAAACUUUAAUGAGAUUCCCCAUUCAGCGACGAUGCUUCUCCUCUGGGUGAAGAUGACCUGGACAUUCCCCUCUCUGUGUUGUCAGAGCUAGAACCACUCUGACUGUGUUGAUCUGCAGAAGCAGCACUGGAAGCAGGUGGUGACUUAGUUUUCUCCUUAAAGUCUGUAAUUAUGACUGUCAGAUCUCCAACGGUAACUUCCAAAUGCUGAGCGCUACUUCGAUCCACAUUUUUCAAUCUUGGCCUAAAUAAAGUGAAUAAUCUUUAUUAAA
Non-coding RNA from Phalacrocorax carbo (great cormorant), 879 nucleotides. NCBI's taxonomy places the organism in Eukaryota, Metazoa, Chordata, Aves, Suliformes, Phalacrocoracidae. The record is from RefSeq and is a predicted model, not a curated record.